AAAGGGGCUACAAGGGAUCCAUGGAAAGAGCAUUCCCAGAAGCGGGGCCAGGGCAGUGCGCACAGUGAGGAGAGCAGGUGUGUGUGAGGUUGAAACAAAACGUUCAAAGCCCCCUCGGAAGCCCAUCCACAGGUGUGUGACUGUGAACCGCAUCGUAAUCUCCUAGAAAGCAAGAACAUCAGGCUUACAUUUUCCACUUGCCUCUCACGGCUCAGAGCUCUGCAGUAUAUACAUUGAGGAAACUGGGCCCUGAGACAUUAACUUGCCCAAAAGAUCACAGUGGGCAACAUUCUAGAGCACAGUGGAAGCCGACAGCAAUGUCAGUGAAGAUGGAAAACAGAACGUGGAGAGAGAUGUAGCUUACUAGAGCCCUGUGGCUUCAAUCCCCACCAGGAAUGUCGUUUAAGAGGAAGAGAAGCAGCCUCGGGGAGCGGGCGGGGCUGGGGAAUCCCUGGCCUCCCUCCUUUCCUUCUGGCUGAUCUUCUGCAGAAGACCUCACAAAAGGGAGCUGAGGGGCCAGGAAGCCUGUGGAUGCCCUGAAGAAGAAUGAGUAGAUCUGAAAGGGCAGUAGAACAGAACCAGAAUCCAGUGCAAAGGCCCUGGGGCAGGAGUUCGCAGGAGAAGCGGGGAGAAGGAACCAGCCUAUGAUCCAGGAAUGCAGUGAACAAGAUUUGGGAAGUUGACAGAGAAUAUGAGGCCUCCUCUCCAAACAGAAACUCCAGGACGCUUGGUUGAGUCACUGACACAUGCACAGUGCUGAGCAUAGUACCAGACACCAGAGUCUGUGUUCCAGAAAUGGAAGAAUAGGUGAGUAAUGAAAGUCUAAGUAAGCAAAUUCUUCGCAAAUGGGGAAAAGAUUGAAUGUAUAGGGCUGCAUAUAUUAGAAGCCCCCUGGAAUCUCUGCAUCCAGAAGAUUGCAGUCACCUUUGAAGCACUCACCACCAGAGUCUACUCGCACACUCUCCUGUGGCAGCCGUUCACCUCGGCCCUUUUCCUAGGGAUUUGCCUUCAAGUCCCAGAAUGGGCCUCAGGGUCUUUGCAUUCGCCUUUCUAUGAGUCUGAAACACCACCCACCCCCUCACCUGUGGGCAGGCAAAGCACCUCCUGUGUUCAUGUCAUCUCCUGUAUCAAGCCCUUCCUGAUGACCAACUUGCAGCCGGGUGCCCUCUAUCCAUGCCUCCAUGGCCGCCUAUGAUAAUGUCCCCCAUAUCAUUUACCAUUCUGCUCAUGAAUUUGGCUUCAUUCAUCUCGCAACAACCCCAGAGUAUUAAGCCACUCGAGGGUGGAAGCUGGUGCUUUUACCUCCGCACCUCUCAUGCCCGACAGAGUCCAUGGCAGAAGGCCGGCUCUCAGAUUUUAGCUGCAUUCCUGAAUGAAGGAAUCAAUAAAAGCCACACAGCAUUAAGUGGCAGACUCUAGUAAUUUAAUUCCUGGUCCUGGGCUCUUUGAUAUAAAAUAACUCUUCUAUUUUUAAUACACCCCACAUUCCUGAAGAUGACACUACUGCAAAAUUAAAGAAAUGUGAUGAACAGCUUACAACCUGCAACACACUCGGCAGCUCAAAAUGACAACAUUAAUUUAAUGAACUUAAACACUGGUGAACUUUUUAACACAUCCAGAGUUAUUUACACUGGGAAAUGCAUACUUAAGACUGCCUGCCAAAGAGACUCAAAUAGAGAUGACACAUAUAUCUUUCACAUGUUAAUUUGCAUUUGAAACUUUGAGCUUUGAUACAGGUUGGCUUUUCUCUUUUGGAAUGAAGAAAUCAAGAGACUAAUUUUUUACCCAUCCAUCCAUCUAUCCAUCUAUCCAUCCAUCCAGCCACAUCUUUCCUAAGUGACAGGACAUAUCACACACCAACCGUGUGCAAAGCACUCUACCUAAAGAUCAGCGCUAACAGAGGAAUAAGCAGAGGCCUCCAGGAGCAAAGAGUGAAAAGUCUCCCAAGGAUUCAAGUACGGGGGAAGUGGGUGGAGCUUUCACCGUAGAAUCUUUCCUGGAGAAAAAGCAAAGAGUGGGACAACAAUGAAGGCAUUAAAAAUAACUGUCAAGUUGAAGAAAAA
RNAcentral lists this long non-coding RNA (2063 nucleotides) under Homo sapiens (human). Its description in RNAcentral is "non-protein coding LARGE-AS1:4". The record is from RNAcentral. Lineage: Eukaryota; Metazoa; Chordata; Mammalia; Primates; Hominidae.